RNAcentral lists this ribosomal RNA (552 nucleotides) under uncultured bacterium. RNAcentral's name for it is "bacterial SSU rRNA". It matches the Rfam family "Bacterial small subunit ribosomal RNA", at positions 353 to 896 of the family's 1533-position model. The record is from RNAcentral.
AGUGGGGAAUAUUGCACAAUGAGGGAAACCUUGAUGCAGCCAUGCCGCGUGUGUGAAGAAGGCCCGAGGGUUGUAAAGCACUUUUAGUAAGGAGGAAAGGUAAGUUGCUAAUAUCAGCUUACUGUGACGUUACUUACAGAAAAAGCACCGGCUAAUUCUGUGCCAGCAGCCGCGGUAAUACAGAGGGUGCAAGCGUUAUUCGGAAUAACUGGGCGUAAAGCGCGCGUAGGCGGACUGUUAAGUCAGUUGUGAAAGCCCAGGGCUCAACCUAGGAACUGCAUCCGAUACUGGCAAUCUAGAGUUUAAGAGAGGCAAGGGGAAUUCCAGGUGUAGCAGUGAAAUGCGUAGAUAUCUGGAGGAACAUCAGUGGCGAAGGCGCCUUGCUGGCUUAAAACUGACGCUGAGGUGCGAAAGCGUGGGUAGCGAACGGGAUUAGAUACCCCGGUAGUCCACGCCGUAAACGAUGGAUACUAGGUGUAGGGAUCUAAGAAGGUCUCUGUGCCGCAGCAAACGCAAUAAGUAUCCCGCCUGGGGAGUACGACCGCAAGGUUG